UACGGAGGAUCCGAGCGUUAUCCGGAUUUAUUGGGUUUAAAGGGUGCGUAGGCGGUCAGGUAAGUUAGAGGUGAAAGCUCGAUGCUCAACAUCGAAACUGCCUCUAAUACUGUUGGACUAGAGAAUAGUUGCGGUAGGCGGAAUGUAUGGUGUAGCGGUGAAAUGCUUAGAGAUCAUACAGAACACCGAUUGCGAAGGCAGCUUACCAAACUAUAUCUGACGUUGAGGCACGAAAGCGUGGGUAGCAAACAGG
This 253-nucleotide ribosomal RNA is filed under the name uncultured Rikenellaceae bacterium. RNAcentral describes it as "partial 16S ribosomal RNA". It matches the Rfam family "Bacterial small subunit ribosomal RNA", at positions 524 to 776 of the family's 1533-position model. The record is from RNAcentral. Lineage: Bacteria; Pseudomonadati; Bacteroidota; Bacteroidia; Bacteroidales; Rikenellaceae.